RNAcentral lists this ribosomal RNA (387 nucleotides) under uncultured bacterium. RNAcentral describes it as "bacterial SSU rRNA". It matches the Rfam family "Bacterial small subunit ribosomal RNA", at positions 370 to 772 of the family's 1533-position model. The record is from RNAcentral.
AAUGGGCGGAAGCCUGAUGCAGCAACGCCGCGUGAGGGACGAAGGCCUUCGGGUCGUAAACCUCUUUUCUGUGGGACGAGACAAGGACGGUACCACAGGAAUCAGUCUCGGCUAACUACGUGCCAGCAGCCGCGGUAAAACGUAGGAGGCGAGCGUUAUCCGGAUUUACUGGGCGUAAAGCGCACGCAGGCGGCUUGGUAAGUUGGACGUGAAAGCUCCUGGCUUAACUGGGAGAGGCCGUUCGAAACUGCCGGGCUUGAGGUUGGGAGAGGGGUGUGGAAUUCCCGGUGUAGUGGUGGAAUGCGUAGAUAUCGGGAGGAACACCAGUGGCGAAGGCGGCACCCUGGCCCACACCUGACGCUGAGGUGCGAAAGCGUGGGGAGCAAA